Molecule: ribosomal RNA, 705 nt
Filed under: uncultured bacterium
Lineage: Bacteria
Description: bacterial SSU rRNA
Rfam family: Bacterial small subunit ribosomal RNA
Source: RNAcentral
AGAGUUUGAUCCUGGCUCAGAACUAACGCUGGCGGCGCGUCUUAAACAUGCAAGUCGAACGGUAGUCCUUGAGCCUGCUUAGGGAUGAGAGUGGCGAACGGGUGAGUAACACGUGGAUAAUCUGCCUCCGGGUUGGGGAUAACUGUCCGAAAGGAUAGCUAAUACCGAAUGAGAUGGUGAUUACAUAAGUAGUAGCCAUUAAAGGUGGGGACCGCAAGGCCUACUGCCUGGAGAUGAGUCCGCGGCUGAUUAGCUUGUUGGUGGGGUAACGGCCUACCAAGACGACGAUCAGUAGCCGGCCUGAGAGGGUGAACGGCCACAUUGGGACUGAGAUACGGCCCAGACUCCUACGGGAGGCAGCAGUUAAGAAUCUUGCACAAUGGGCGCAAGCCUGAUGCAGCGACGCCGCGUGAAUGAUGAAGGCCUUCGGGUUGUAAAGUUCAGUAAGCAGGGAAGAAUAAGCGAGAGGUAAUAUUUCUUGUGAUGACGGUACCUGCCUAAAGCCCCGGCUAACUACGUGCCAGCAGCCGCGGUAAUACGUAUGGGGCGAGCGUUGUUCGGAAUUAUUGGGCGUAAAGGGCGUCUAGGCGGGAAAUUAAGUUAGGUGUGAAAACUAUGGGCUCGACCCAUAAACUGCAUCUAAAACUGAUUUUCUUGAGUUCGGGAGAGGAGAGCGGAAUUCCAGGUGUAGCGGUGAAAUGCGUA